GACUCGGGUUGAGAAUGUGAGCAGAUCUCACAAUAUCGCUGGGGGCCUCCUGUAACAGCACCCCCAGGAGCUGAGAACCCUCAGCGCUGCCUGCAAUGAGCCUCCAGCAACUGUCAGUAGCAGUUGGGGUUUUCCUACCUGGUGCUGCUCGCCAUGGCGUGGUUUCAGCUUCUAUCCCUGCUCCGGAAGGACAUACUGUAGUAGACUCUCCUGAUCUGUGGACAGCCCUAUUCACCUGGUCCUGGCAUUCCAGUCUUUGUGAAGGACUACUCCCUGGAGCUAUGGUUCAGAAAUCUCCUUAGAGAAGACCAACUCCACUGGCUCUUUAUUUUAUGCCUCCCUCUCCCUAUUUCAUGCUUUUAAGAAGAUGGAUUUGAUGACCAGAGCUACAACGGCUUCUUAGGAAGAUGAUUCAGCCCUGAGUUUGUUCUGUGAUCCAGGGUACAAGUCUUCAGAUAGAGACUGGCUUCCUGACAAUGCUAAGCACUCCAUAAAAACCACACCGAUCCUGGACUGCCUAUAUCUGGAACCCUUUCAAAGAAGCAAGAAAAACUACUUUCAUUACAGAGGGAGUGACGUUGCAGUUUUAUAUAUCCUAGUUCAGAGCAGAAAUCACAGUGGACUUUUAAAUUUCUGACAUGUUUGAACU
Molecule: long non-coding RNA, 649 nt
Organism: Talpa occidentalis (Iberian mole)
Lineage: Eukaryota; Metazoa; Chordata; Mammalia; Eulipotyphla; Talpidae
Exons: 4
Source: RefSeq, a predicted model, not a curated record